Molecule: long non-coding RNA, 462 nt
Filed under: Gadus morhua (Atlantic cod)
Lineage: Eukaryota; Metazoa; Chordata; Actinopteri; Gadiformes; Gadidae
Description: lncRNA (ENSGMOG00000024329.1)
Source: RNAcentral
UCCCUAUGUUUUAUUCGAUACAUUUCGACAGUGUUACCCCUUAUGGAUUUUUCAUGACGACAGAUAAAAAACGACAGUGUUACCCUUUACGUUUCAUUUGAUAAAAACGACAGUGUUACCCCUUGUGUUUUUUUUCAUGACGACCAAAGAAAAACAACAGUGUUACCCCCUAUGUUUUAUUUGAUCAAUAUCGACAGUGUUACCCCUUAUGGUUUUUUUCAUGACGACCAAAGAAAAAUGACAGUGUAACCCCUCAUGUUUCAUUUGAUAAAAACGACAGUGUUACCCCUUAUGUUUUUUUCAUGACGACCGAUAAAAAACGACAGUGGUACCCCUUAUGUUUUUUUUCUUGACGACCAAUAAAAAACAAAAGUGUUACCCCUUAUGUUUUUUUUCAUGACGACCAAUAAAAAACGACAGUGUUACCCCUUGUGGUUUUUUUCAUGACGACCAAUAAAAAAU